AGUUCUCAGCUUAGAUUUCCUGUCCUUGGGAAGCUGUCAUCAUCCUUCUAUCUUUACACCCCAUGAUUUACCCCUUGCAGUGUACUUAUUACACUGUAUUGGAAUCGCUUCUUUUCUCUUUCUCUGUGAAUUUCUUGAGAGCACAGACUACAUUCUGCUUAACUUUUUAUCCCCAGCUUUCAGCACAGUGCCUGGCUGCUUUGGCGUCUCCAAGUACCUGACCUCAGCUCAACCUGUCUUGGGUUUUCUUCUCCUCCCUGACAUUGACAACCCAGCCCUCCUAGGCACAGAGAGAUGGAGCUGAGUGUGGUUUUCCUGAAAUAAAGCUUGCAUUAUGAGAGGGAAUAAACAGUGUCUGAGGCGCAUGGCCCCGGGAGAGGAGGAGAAUGGGACGGUGGUUCAGAUCUGCUGAUGUAGCUGUGGUCAGUCACUGGGGAGAAUAGGCCUGUGGAUUUCUGCUCCUCUGAGAUGGAUCCAUCACUGACUACUGAACUUGUUUUCUCAUUGGCUCAACUUAAGAAGGUUCUAGAGGGAACUGACUUCUUCCUCCUCAUGGUCCACUUGAAAUUCCAGGAAAAGGAACAGAUGUGCAAGGAAUUGCAGCCUGGAGAAACAUAGUGUAUUUGGAGACUUGCAUGUAAAUGGAUAAGUAGGUGUAGGAGGAGAAGCUGGGUCACAUUUUCCUAAAUUUUAUUCCACAAAACACUAGUUCUGUGAGACGCUCUAUGGAAAUUGGUCCCAUGAUCAGUACAUUUGGGGCAUGCUGCAUGUUGUAUUCCCUGUUGUCUUAUAUUGGAUUUCCUAAAAAUAGACUCUGAGGUGGAGACUUAUGUGCAGAAGGUCUCUUGGCGAAUGCUCCAGGGAGGCGUGCGUGUAAGGAAGUGAGACAGACCCACCUCAGGCCCCUGGGACUUCCACUGGCCAGACGCCCUGUGCCUACUUGUGUCAUGGGAUACAGGGCCCAUCUCUUCCCAUCUCCACACUCUGACCACACGCUAGUAGCUUGAAAUCAGCCAUGGUGCAACUAUUGGCAUCACAAAAAUGGACAAAUGCUUCAAACUGGGGCCUGACUUAUUGUUUUGUUGAUUGCCAGGCUUAAAAAGUGAUGGAAAGGAUGCUAAUAAUGCAUAUUAAACCAAAAAAGUGCGUCAUGUCUGUAGCUGUGACAUUGUGAAUAGCACAAGCAUUGAGGUUACAUGCUUCUGAUAUUUGAAAACCCUUAUUGGAUUCAACAAAGAAUUCACUCAUGUCAUUGUCUAUCAGGUGAAGCUCUGAUGCACAUUUUUUGCUUUCACUUUUGCCUUAUUCAUUAAUAUAAACAGAAUGUCAAUCAACCUUCAUGUUGUGUCUACGCUCAAUCAUCCCUGAUGACCCUACGCUGACUACAGAUGCAGAAUUCAGCAAAAACCAAUGAAAGCAUUCGGUGAGAAUCAAUGGCUAUAUGGAGCUUACAAUAAACCGUAUUGUGUAUUUUAUUA
Molecule: long non-coding RNA, 1478 nt
Organism: Homo sapiens (human)
Lineage: Eukaryota; Metazoa; Chordata; Mammalia; Primates; Hominidae
Source: Ensembl